UACGGAGGAUGCAAGCGUUAUCCGGAAUGAUUGGGCGUAAAGGGUCCUGAGGUGGCUGGCUUAGUCUACUGUGAAAGAUCAGGGCUUAACCCUGAACAGGCGGUGGAAACUAGCAAGCUAGAGUACGGUAGGGGCGGAGGGAAUUCUCGGUGGAGCGGUGAAAUGCAUAGAUAUCGGGAAGAACACCAACGGCGAAAGCACGAUCCGCUGGGCCGAAAACUCGACAGCGUAGACAGACGAGAGCUAGGGGAGGCGAAUGGGAUUGAGAC
This 269-nucleotide ribosomal RNA is filed under the name uncultured bacterium. RNAcentral describes it as "partial 16S ribosomal RNA". It matches the Rfam family "Bacterial small subunit ribosomal RNA", at positions 524 to 785 of the family's 1533-position model. The record is from RNAcentral.